ACAGAGUUAGAUGUGCGUGAGGGGUAGAGAGAUAUUCAUGGGUAGAGCGGUGAAAUGUGUAGAGAUCAAGAAAGCACAACUGUGGAGAAGGCGCUCGCACUAGGCCGCAACUGACACUGAUGGGCGAAAGCUAGGAGAGAGCAUGAGAUUAUAUCCCCGAGUAGUCCUCGCUAUAAGAGAUGGAUAAUAGGUGUUGCGAGUAUCGACCCUCGCAGCGCAGGAGACACAGCGUGAAGUAUCCCUCCUGAGGAGUAUGCCAGCAAGUGUGAAAAUCAAAGGAAUCGACGGGGGCCCGCACAAGCGGUGGAGUAUGUGGUUUAAUUCGAUGCAACGAGAAGAACCUCACCAAGACUCAACAUGUCGAGAAUUCUCUGGAAAGGGAGGAGUGCCUUAGGGAGCGUGAACCCCGGUGGUGCAUGGCUGUUGUUAACUUGUGUUGUGAGAUGUUGGGUUAAGUUCCGCAACGAGCGCCACCCUUGUUUUUAGUUGCCAGCCUUAAAUUGGGCCCUUUAGAGAGACCGCCGGUGACAAACCGGGGGAAGGUGGGGAUGAAGUCAAAUUCGCCUGCGCCCUUACUCCUUGGGUUCCCCACUUGUUCCAAGCUCCGAGCCAAGGGCAGCAAACUAGCGAUAGCCAGCAAAUUCUGAAAAUCGGAGCUCAGUUCAGAUUGAAGGCUGCAACUCGCCUUCAUGAAGG
RNAcentral lists this ribosomal RNA (696 nucleotides) under Nostoc sp. MBDU007. Its description in RNAcentral is "bacterial SSU rRNA". It matches the Rfam family "Bacterial small subunit ribosomal RNA", at positions 635 to 1326 of the family's 1533-position model. Lineage: Bacteria; Bacillati; Cyanobacteriota; Cyanophyceae; Nostocales; Nostocaceae. The record is from RNAcentral.